Molecule: long non-coding RNA, 248 nt
Filed under: Ananas comosus (pineapple)
Lineage: Eukaryota; Viridiplantae; Streptophyta; Magnoliopsida; Poales; Bromeliaceae
Description: long non-coding RNA (ACOM_LNC029274)
Source: RNAcentral
AUAAGUUGAGUUGAGGUGUGGAUUGAAUUAUAAGUGAGUUGAGUUUCGAGGACGAAACUCUUUUUAAGAAGGGGAGGAUGUACGGUACCGGACUUCUAAAAUUAUGAAGUUACGGUGUACAUUUGGUUGGAAAGUCAUUUGAAUGGUUCCGGUGAAGUUCUAUGAAGUCAGGGAGUAUUCGGGCGUUUCGGUGCGAGUAGGCGUGAAAACGGAACCCGAAAGGCUAUGUCGGACUGUGGACUAAAUCU